AGCGAACGCUGGCGGCAGGCUUAACACAUGCAAGUCGAGCGGGCAUAGCAAUAUGUCAGCGGCAGACGGGUGAGUAACGCGUGGGAACGUACCUUUUGGUUCGGAACAACACAGGGAAACUUGUGCUAAUACCGGAUAAGCCCUUACGGGGCAAGAUUUAUCGCCGAAAGAUCGGCCCGCGUCUGAUUAGCCAGUUGGUGAGGUAAUGGCUCACCAAGGCGACGAUCAGUAGCUGGUCUGAGAGGAUGCUCAGCCACAUUGGGACUGAGACACGGCCCAAACUCCUACGGGAGGCAGCAGUGGGGAAUAUUGGACAAUGGGCGCAGGCCUGAUCCAGCCAUGCCGCGUGAGUGGUGAAGGCCCUAGGGUUGUAAAGCUCUUUUGUGCGGGAAGAUAAUGACGGUACCGCAAGAAUAAGCCCCGGCUAACUUCGUGCCAGCAGCCGCAGUAA
Molecule: ribosomal RNA, 451 nt
Filed under: uncultured bacterium
Lineage: Bacteria
Description: partial 16S ribosomal RNA
Rfam family: Bacterial small subunit ribosomal RNA
Source: RNAcentral